UACGUAGGUGGCAAGCGUUGUCCGGAUUUACUGGGCGUAAAGGGCGCGUAGGCGGCGUAACAAGUCACUUGUGAAAUCUCCGGGCUUAACCCAGAGCGGCCAAGUGAUACUGUUGUGCUAGAGUGCGGAAGGGGCUACUGGAAUUCUCGGUGUAGCGGUGAAAUGCGUAGAUAUCGAGAGGAACACCUGCGGCGAAGGCGGGUAGCUGGGCCGACACUGACGCUGAGGCGCGAAAGCCAGGGGAGCGAACGGG
Molecule: ribosomal RNA, 253 nt
Filed under: uncultured bacterium
Lineage: Bacteria
Description: partial 16S ribosomal RNA
Rfam family: Bacterial small subunit ribosomal RNA
Source: RNAcentral